UGGGGAAUAUUGGACAAUGGGCGCAAGCCUGAUCCAGCCAUGCCGCGUGAGUGAUGAAGGCCCUAGGGUUGUAAAGCUCUUUCACCGGUGAAGAUAAUGACGGUAACCGGAGAAGAAGCCCCGGCUAACUUCGUGCCAGCAGCCGCGGUAAUACGAAGGGGGCUAGCGUUGUUCGGAUUUACUGGGCGUAAAGCGCACGUAGGCGGACUUUUAAGUCAGGGGUGAAAUCCCGGGGCUCAACCCCGGAACUGCCUUUGAUACUGGAAGUCUUGAGUAUGGUAGAGGUGAGUGGAAUUCCGAGUGUAGAGGUGAAAUACGUAGAUAUUCGGAGGAACACCAGUGGCGAAGGCGGCUCACUGGACCAUUACUGACGCUGAGGUGCGAAAGCGUGGGGAGCAAACAGG
Molecule: ribosomal RNA, 404 nt
Filed under: Actinomycetes bacterium
Lineage: Bacteria; Bacillati; Actinomycetota; Actinomycetes
Also listed under: 1 other name
Description: Actinobacteria bacterium partial 16S ribosomal RNA
Rfam family: Bacterial small subunit ribosomal RNA
Source: RNAcentral